GACGAACGCUGGCGGCGCGCCUAACACAUGCAAGUCGAACGGAGUCAAGAGGAGCUUGCUUUUCUUGACUUAGUGGCGAACGGGUGAGUAACGCGUGAGUAACCUGCCCUGGAGUGGGGGACAACAGUUGGAAACGACUGCUAAUACCGCAUAAGCCCACGGAUCCGCAUGGAUCUGCGGGAAAAGGAUUUAUUCGCUUCAGGAUGGACUCGCGUCCAAUUAGCUAGUUGGUGAGGUAACGGCCCACCAAGGCGACGAUUGGUAGCCGGACUGAGAGGUUGAACGGCCACAUUGGGACUGAGACACGGCCCAGACUCCUACGGGAGGCAGCAGUGGGGGAUAUUGCACAAUGGGGGAAACCCUGAUGCAGCGACGCCGCGUGGAGGAAGAAGGUUUUCGGAUUGUAAACUCCUGUCGUUAGGGACGAUAAUGACGGUACCUAACAAGAAAGCGCCGGCUAACUACGUG
This 468-nucleotide ribosomal RNA is filed under the name uncultured bacterium. Its description in RNAcentral is "partial 16S ribosomal RNA". It matches the Rfam family "Bacterial small subunit ribosomal RNA", at positions 28 to 507 of the family's 1533-position model. The record is from RNAcentral.